UACAGAGGUCUCAAGCGUUGUUCGGAAUCACUGGGCGUAAAGGGUGCGUAGGCGGCACGGUAAGUCAGAGGUGAAAUCCCGGAGCUCGACUUCGGAAUUGCCUCCGAUACUGCCGUGCUUGAGGACUGGAGAGGAGAUUGGAAUUCACAGUGGAGCAGUGAAAUGCGUAGAUAUUGUGAGGAACACUAGUGGCGAAGGCGAAUCUCUGGACAGUUCCUGACGCUGAGGCACGAAGGCCAGGGGAGCAAACGGG
RNAcentral lists this ribosomal RNA (253 nucleotides) under uncultured bacterium. RNAcentral describes it as "partial 16S ribosomal RNA". It matches the Rfam family "Bacterial small subunit ribosomal RNA", at positions 524 to 776 of the family's 1533-position model. The record is from RNAcentral.